AACCAGACAAAAUUAAACAUGCCUACUUAUAUCAUGAAUACAAAUUCUGAGGGCUGAAAUUAUUAAAGUAUAUUAAAGUAUUAAACCUCUCACUAAAAGCUUCACUCAUACAGAAGCAUACUUAAACCCGAACUGGUUCUCCAGUAGAUUACUAAGAAUGAUCAUCAUACCCCCAAGACAUGCUAACCUCUCACCAAUACAAUAACAGGGGAGAUUAGCAUUUUAUAUCAUACCCCCAAGACAUGCUAACCUCUCACCAUUACAAUAACAUGGGAGGUUAGCAAUUUAUAUCAUACCCCCAAGUCAUGCUAACCUCUCACCAAUACAACAACAGGGGAGAUUAGCAUUUUAUAUCAUACCCCCAAGACAUGCUAACCUCUCACCAAUACAAUAACAGGGGAGGUUAGCAUUUUAUAUCAUACCCCCAAGACAUGCUAACCUCUCACCAUUACAAUACCAGGGAGGUUAGCAUUUUAUAUCAUACCCCCAAGACAUGCUAACCUCUCACCAAUACAAUAACAGGGGAGGUUAGCAUUUUAUAUCAUACCCCCAAGACAUGCUAACCUCUCACCAAUACAAUAACAGGGGAGGUUAGCAUUUUAUAUCAUACCCCCAAGACAUGCUAACCUCUCACCAAUACAAUAACAGGGGAGGUUAGCAUUUUAUAUCAUACCACCAAGACAUGCUAACCCCUCACCAUUACAAUAACAGGGGAGGUUAGCAUUUUAUAUCAUACCCCCAAGACAUGCUAACCUCUCACCAAUACAAUAACAGGGGAGGUUAGCAUUUUAUAUCAUACCCCCAAGACAUGCUAACCUCUCACCAAUACAAUAACAGGGGAGGUUAGCAUUUUUUGGGGAGGGGUAUGAUAUUUGUGCAUCUGUAACUUUCUCACUCAUCAUCAUUUCACAAUUCAUCACUACGUACAAGAAGUGCCGUAAUUUCGAAACUCUUCAACCGAUAUGGAUGAAAAUACCCUCAAAUUAAAUCUGACAAUCUGCACUUUAACCUCAUAUGGUCGUUGUUUAAUUUAAAAUCCAAACUUAU
Molecule: long non-coding RNA, 1047 nt
Filed under: Salmo salar (Atlantic salmon)
Lineage: Eukaryota; Metazoa; Chordata; Actinopteri; Salmoniformes; Salmonidae
Description: lncRNA (ENSSSAG00000095094.1)
Source: RNAcentral